GAUGAUUCUGAAGAACGCAUCAUACACGGCCGGAUUUGAGGCCGGCUUCGAGACUAUGCUCAAUUCAGGUUUAAAUGGACGUCCUUCUCGGAAGUAAAUUGUUUCUUUUAAUACAAUGGACAUGAGUCUUCAAUGAAUUUUGCAUGCCAUUCAGUGUAAAAUCGAUCAAAUUAUAAUCAUGUUUUCCAUUGACCUAUGUUGUCGACUUCAUGCUUGCUCAAUUAUUUCACAAAGGAAGCGAGAUCAAAUUUGUCAAUUGAGGUAAAACCAUACCUCCCUACAACCUCUGUAGAUGAGAAACACCAAACAGGCGUUGGAAAACACUGUUUAAAGUUAUUCUCCCUGUUGAUCAUAAACUUUAAACAUUGAAUUAAGCAUUACAU
Molecule: long non-coding RNA, 383 nt
Filed under: Oryza brachyantha (malo sina)
Lineage: Eukaryota; Viridiplantae; Streptophyta; Magnoliopsida; Poales; Poaceae
Description: long non-coding RNA (OBRA_LNC003492)
Source: RNAcentral